AGGGUUUGAUUAUGGCUCAGAUUGAACGCUGGCGGUAGGCUUAACACAUGCAAGUCGUGCGAGAAAGUAUCUUCGGAUAUGAGUAGAGCGGCGGACGGGUGAGUAACGCGUAGGAAUCUACCUAGUAGAAGGGGAUAGCCCGGGGAAACUCGGAUUAAUACCGUAUACCUCCUUCGGGAGAAAGAAGGCCUCUCUUUGAAGCUUUCGCUAUUAGAUGAGCCUGCGUAAGAUUAGCUUGUUGGUGAGGUAAAGGCUCACCAAGGCGACGAUCUUUAGCGGGUCUGAGAGGACGAUCCGCCACAUUGGGACUGAGACACGGCCCAGACUCCUACGGGAGGCAGCAGUGGGGAAUAUUGGACAAUGGGCGCAAGCCUGAUCCAGCCAUACCACGUGUGUGAAGAAGGCCCUAGGGUUGUAAAGCACUUUAAGUUGGGAAGAAAAGUUAUUGGCUAAUAUCCAAUAACCGUGACAUUACCAACAGAAUAAGGACCGGCUAAUUCCGUGCCAGCAGCCGCGGUAAUACGGAAGGUCCAAGCGUUAAUCGGAAUUACUGGGCGUAAAGCGCGCGUAGGUGGUUUAUUAAGUUGGAUGUGAAAUCCCCGGGCUCGACCUGGGAACUGCAUCCAAAACUGAUUCACUAGAGUACGAUAGASGGAGGUAGAAUUCACAGUGUAGCGGUGGAAUGCGUAGAUAUUGUGAAGAAUACCAAAGGCGGGGGCAGCCUCCUGGAUCUGUACUGACACUGAGGUGCGAAAGCGUGGGUAGCGAACAGGAUUAGAUACCCUGGUAGUCCACGCCGUAAACGAUGUCAACUAGCUGUUGGAGAACUAUGUUCUUCAGUGGCGCAGCUAACGUAGUAAGUUGACCGCCUGGGGAGUACGGCCGCAAGGCUAGAACUCAAAUGAAUUGACGGGGACCCGCACAAGCGGUGGAGCAUGUGGUUUAAUUCGAUGCAACGCGAAAAACCUUACCUAUACUUGACAUACUUGGAAUGCUUUGUAAUGAAGCAGUGCCUUCGGGAGCUAAGAUACAGGUGCUGCAUGGCUGUCGUCAGCUCGUGUCGUGAGAUGUUCCGUCAAGUCGGAUAACGAGCGCAACCCUUACCCUUAUUUGCCAGCGAUUCGGUCGGGAACUAUAAGGGGACUGCCGGUGAUAAGCCGGAGGAAGGUGAGGACGACGUCAAGUCAUCAUGGCCCUUACGUAUAGGGCUACACACGUGCUACAAUGGAGAAUACAGACGGACGCUAAGCCGCGAGGUGGUGCUAAUCCUAGAAAAUUCUUCGUAGUCCGGAUUGGAGUCUGCAACUCGACUCCAUGAAGUCGGAAUCGCUAGUAAUCGCGAAUCAGCAUGUCGCGGUGAAUACGUUCUCGGGUCUUGUACACACCGCCCGUCAUACCAUGGAAGUGGAUUGCACCAGAAGUAGAUAGUCUAACCUUCGGGAGGGCGUUUACCACGGUGUGCUUCAUGACUGGGGUAAAGUCGUAACAAGGUAGCCA
Molecule: ribosomal RNA, 1497 nt
Filed under: uncultured bacterium
Lineage: Bacteria
Description: bacterial SSU rRNA
Rfam family: Bacterial small subunit ribosomal RNA
Source: RNAcentral